AUUUCACAACUAACACGGUUAAUCUGUAAAUGUUCUUAUUCCUAAUAAGGCUUAAAAUAAACUUGUGGGAGGCACACAUUAAGAUUUUGUCAUUAUUUACUGUAACUUUAAGAUUAUAUUGUUUUUUAUAUGCUUGUUCUUCAUUUCCCAUGCAUAUAAAUUUUAUCAAAGUCAGGGGUUUUUUUUGUUUGUUUGUUUUUGUUUUAUCAGAGCACUGCUCAACUCUGUCUUAUGGUGAUGAUGAAGAUUGAACUGUGGACUUUCAUUCUUUUGUGCUUAAGAGUUUUUUUUUAGCAUGAGUCAUUUCCUAUUUCUCAGGCCCCCAAACAAAUUCUGUAUACUCAGCAAGGAGAAGUGGAUGUAGAUGAAGUCACUGAUUUCAGUUCCUUCUAGAGUCUAGGGGCAUAAGCAGAUUGGGAACACACACUGGCCGAGUACCCUGUGCGACAAGCUGUGGUGAAGCAUGUGCAGUGGAGUCCACUAGCUAUAGGUCCUAUAAGCAGAUUGUGGGGAACAAAUUGGGCCAGAGGGUGGGCCAAGCCCAGCCCUAUGAAAGUGCCUAACAGUUUAUUGGGAUAAAUAGCUUACAAGGCAUUUGUUGUCACAUGUAGAAAGGGUUCUUCCCUCUCCCUUGAUAGGUGUCUGCACCCCUCACCCAUCAGCAAGUAGAGUUUUCUCAACCAUAGUGCAAUUGGUCAAUUCUAACACAUUCUCGAACACUAUUCAGGACAUCCCACAUAAGAAUGUCGGUAAUUCAGCUGGAAGUACAUCUCACAGCAGAAAUUGUGCUUUAAAAAGACAUGGAGAUGGUUUUCAUAAAAAAUGUCCUGAUUUGAAGGGCAUCAAUAACGUCAGAAAGUCUGCUUCUAACAAAGCAGUAGCAAUGAAAAAAAUACAAAAACUACAAUCAGAUCUAAAGUCUUCAUUGGCAUUCGAAGAGACUGGAACAAAUGGCCUUGGGGAUUCUAAGGAGGGUAGACAGGGGGAGAGAAAGAUAGACACCAGAAGACCUGUUUUGGAUGAUGCCCAGUUCCUACAGAGGCCUGUGGUUGUGGAUAAACCCACCAUAACCCCACCAGUAAAAGUUCCAGUCCACCUAUUUAAUGUUAUUCCAUCCAAUAAAUCUAAUAAGUCCAUUUCAGAAAAUGCAGUAUUUGCAAAGG
This is a long non-coding RNA of Erinaceus europaeus (western European hedgehog), 1163 nucleotides long. RefSeq lists it as uncharacterized. The record is from RefSeq and is a predicted model, not a curated record. The transcript has 6 exons. Lineage: Eukaryota; Metazoa; Chordata; Mammalia; Eulipotyphla; Erinaceidae.